UACGUAGGGUGCGAGCGUUAAUCGGAAUUACUGGGCGUAAAGCGUGCGCAGGCGGUUUUGUAAGCCAGAUGUGAAAUCCCCGGGCUUAACCUGGGAAUGGCAUUUGGGACUGCAAGGCUGGAGUGUGGCAGAGGAGACUGGAAUUCCUGGUGUAGCAGUGAAAUGCGUAGAUAUCGUGAGGAAGACCAGUGGCGAAGGCGGGUCUCUGGACAGUUCCUGACGCUGAGGCGCGAAGGCCAGGGGAGCAAACGGG
RNAcentral lists this ribosomal RNA (253 nucleotides) under uncultured bacterium. RNAcentral describes it as "partial 16S ribosomal RNA". It matches the Rfam family "Bacterial small subunit ribosomal RNA", at positions 524 to 776 of the family's 1533-position model. The record is from RNAcentral.